Molecule: ribosomal RNA, 1404 nt
Filed under: Triticum aestivum (bread wheat)
Lineage: Eukaryota; Viridiplantae; Streptophyta; Magnoliopsida; Poales; Poaceae
Description: partial small subunit ribosomal RNA
Source: RNAcentral
AUGUCGCUCCUCCUGGUGCUGAUCAGUGUUGUGGUCGGCAUGGUCGGCCUGCUGCUGAGGUGGAACGAGGUGAGGUACGGCAGGAGGGGGAAUGUGCGCCUGCCGCCGGGGACAAUGGGGUGGCCGCUGUUCGGCGAGACCACCGAGUUCCUCAAGGAGGGGCCGAGCUUCAUGAAGCGGAAGGGGCUCAGAUACGGGAGGCUUUUCCGGACGCACAUCCUGGGGUGCCCCACAGUGGCGUGCAUGGACCCCGAGCUCAACCGCCGGAUGCUGCUCCAGGGCGAGUCCGGCGGCCUGGUCCCAGGCUACCCGCAGUCCAUGCUCGACAUCCUCGGCCGCAACAACAUCGCCGCCGUGCACGGCCCGCUGCACCGAGCCAUGCGGGGUGCCAUGCUUGGCCUCGUGCACCCCGCCGCGAUCCGCGCCAGCCUCCUUCCCAAGAUCGACGCCUUCAUGCGCUCCCACCUCGAUGGAUGGUCCGGCUGUGUCGUCGACGUCCAGGCAAAGACCAAGGAGAUGACCUUGCUAUCCGCACUCAAUCAAAUCGCCGGCAUCACCGCUGGCCCGCUCUCUGAUGCCCUCAAGACAGAGUUAUACACCCUUGUGCUCGGCACCAUCUCCUUGCCCAUCAACCUUCUAGGGACUAGGUAUUACCAGGGCUUGCAGGCGAGGAAGAAGCUCGUGUCCAUGCUAGAGCAGAUGAUCGUGGAGCGGAGGUCUUCUAUUCAAGCUCACGAUGACAUGCUGGACGCUCUAUUGAGAAGUGGCGAUGAUGGGGCCAGGGAAAAGCUCAGUGAUGAGCAGAUCAUUGACUUGAUCAUCACCCUUAUUUACUCCGGAUAUGAGACCAUGUCGACGACCUCGAUGAUGGCUGUCAAGUACCUGUCGGACCACCCACGGGCUCUCCAAGAUCUUAAGAGAGAGCAUCUUGAUAUCAGGAAGGGGAAAUCAUCGGAGGAGGCCAUCGACUACGAGGAUUUCAAGUCCAUGGCCUUCACUCGAGCUGUCAUCUUUGAGACGCUAAGAUUAGCCACAGUCGUGAAUGGGCUGAUGAGGAAAACUACUCAGGAUGUAGAAAUGAAUGGGCAUGUCAUUCCAAAAGGCUGGAGAAUCUAUGUUCACACAAGGGAGAUAAACUACGAUCCAUUCAUGUACCCUGACCCGACAACCUUUAACCCAUGGAGAUGGCUGGAGAAGAACACGGAAUCGCACCCACAUUUCAUGAUGUUCGGAGGAGGCGGCCGGAUGUGCCCCGGGAAGGAGGUGGGCACGGUUGAGAUCGCGACUUUCCUCCACUAUUUCGUGACUCGAUACAGAUGGGAGGAGGAAGGCAGGAACGCCAUCUUGAGAUUCCCCCGGGUGGUAGCUCCCAACGGGCUACAUAUCCGAGUUCAAGAUUAUUAA